AUUGAACGCUGGCGGCAGGCCUAACACAUGCAAGUCGAGCGGAUGAAGAGAGCUUGCUCUCUGAUUCAGCGGCGGACGGGUGAGUAAUGCCUAGGAAUCUGCCUGGUAGUGGGGGACAACGUUUCGAAAGGAACGCUAAUACCGCAUACGUCCUACGGGAGAAAGUGGGGGAUCUUCGGACCUCACGCUAUCAGAUGAGCCUAGGUACGAUUAGCUAGUUGGUGAGGUAAAGGCUCACCAAGGCGACGAUCGUUAACUGGUCUGAGAGGAUGAUCAGUCACACUGGAACUGAGACACGGUCCAGACUCCUACGGGAGGCAGCAGUGGGGAAUAUUGGACAAUGGGCGAAAGCCUGAUCCAGCCAUGCCGCGUGUGUGAAGAAGGUCUUCGGAUUGUAAAGCACUUUAAGUUGGGAGGAAGGGCAGUAAGUUAAUACCUUACUGUUUUGACGUUACCGACAGAAUAAGCAUCGGCUAACUCCGUGCCAGCCGCCGCCGUAA
RNAcentral lists this ribosomal RNA (500 nucleotides) under uncultured bacterium. RNAcentral describes it as "partial 16S ribosomal RNA". It matches the Rfam family "Bacterial small subunit ribosomal RNA", at positions 30 to 523 of the family's 1533-position model. The record is from RNAcentral.